This 786-nucleotide ribosomal RNA is filed under the name uncultured bacterium. RNAcentral describes it as "bacterial SSU rRNA". It matches the Rfam family "Bacterial small subunit ribosomal RNA", at positions 237 to 1014 of the family's 1533-position model. The record is from RNAcentral.
CGUAUUAGCUAGUUGGUGAGAUAAUAGCUCACCAAGGCGAUGAUACGUAGCAGACCUGAGAGGGUAAUCUGCCACAAUGGGACUGAGACACGGCCCAUACUCCUACGGGAGGCAGCAGUAGGGAAUCUUCCACAAUGGACGAAAGUCUGAUGGAGCAACGCCGCGUUAGUGAAGAAGGGUUUCGGCUCGUAAAACUCUGUUGUUAGAGAAGAACGACUGUGAGAGUAACUGCUCACAGUGUGACGGUAUCUAACCAGAAAGUCACGGCUAACUACGUGCCAGCAGCCGCGGUAAUACGUAGGUGGCAAACGUUGUCCGGAUUUAUUGGGCGUAAAGGGAGUGCAGGCGGUUUAUUAAGUCUGAUGUGAAAGCCUUCGGCUUAACCGGAGAAGUGCAUCGGAAACUGAUAAACUUGAGUGCAAAAAAGGAUAGUGGAACUUCAUGUGUAGCGGUGAAAUGCGUAGAUAUAUGAAGGAACACCAGUGGCGAAGGCGGCUAUCUGGUCUGUAACUGACGCUGAGGCUCGAAAGCAUGGGUAGCAAACAGGAUUAGAUACCCUGGUAGUCCAUGCCGUAAACGAUGAAUGCUAGGUGUUGGGAGGUUUCCGCCUCUCAGUGCCGCAGCUAACGCAUUAAGCAUUCCGCCUGGGGAGUACGACCGCAAGGUUGAAACUCAAAGGAAUUGACGGGGACCCGCACAAGCGGUGGAGCAUGUGGUUUAAUUCGAUGCNACGCGAAGAGCCUUACUAGGACUUGACAUCUUCUGCCAAUCUAAGAGAUUAGACGU